CUCUCCAGCAUCUCAGCUCAAAAUCUUUGUAAGCUGAUAAGCAACUUCAGCAAAGUCUCAGGAUACAAAAUCAAGGAGCAAAAAUAACAAGCAAUCCUAUAUACGAAUAACAGACAAACAGAGAGCCAAAUCAUGAGUGAACUCCCAUUCACAAUUGCUAAAAAGAGAAUAAAAUACCUAGGAAUACAGCUAAGAGGGAUG
Molecule: long non-coding RNA, 201 nt
Organism: Sapajus apella (tufted capuchin)
Lineage: Eukaryota; Metazoa; Chordata; Mammalia; Primates; Cebidae
Exons: 3
Source: RefSeq, a predicted model, not a curated record